RNAcentral lists this ribosomal RNA (497 nucleotides) under uncultured bacterium. Its description in RNAcentral is "partial 16S ribosomal RNA". It matches the Rfam family "Bacterial small subunit ribosomal RNA", at positions 28 to 507 of the family's 1533-position model. The record is from RNAcentral.
GAUGAACGCUGGCGGCGUGCCUAAUACAUGCAAGUCGAGCGAACAGACGAGGAGCUUGCUCCUUCGACGUUAGCGGCGGACGGGUGAGUAACACGUAGGUAACCUACCUAUAAGACUGGGAUAAUUUCGGGAAACCGGAUCCAAUACCGGCUAAUAUUUCCAACGGCUGGGUUCAGUGGGGAAAGAUGCCUUGCCUUUCCUUAUUAGACGAACCUGCGCCGUAUUAGCUAGUUGGUAAGGUAACGGCUUACCAAGGCAACGAUACGUAGCCGACCUGAGAGGGUGAUCGGCCACACUGGAACUGAGACACGGUCCAGACUCCUACGGGAGGCAGCAGUAGGGAAUCUUCCGCAAUGGGCGAAAGCCUGACGGAGCAACGCCGCGUGAGUGAUGAAGGUCUUCGGAUCGUAAAACUCUGUUAUUAGGGAAGAACAAACGUGUAAGUAACUGUGCACGUCUUGACGGUACCUAAUCAGAAAGCCACGGCUAACUACGUG